RNAcentral lists this ribosomal RNA (440 nucleotides) under uncultured bacterium. RNAcentral's name for it is "partial 16S ribosomal RNA". It matches the Rfam family "Bacterial small subunit ribosomal RNA", at positions 338 to 795 of the family's 1533-position model. The record is from RNAcentral.
CCUACGGGAGGCAGCAGUGAGGGAUAUUGGUCAAUGGGGGAAACCCUGAACCAGCAACGCCGCGUGAGGGAAGACGGCUUUCGGAUUGUAACCCUCUGUCCUCUGUGAAGUUAAUGACGGUAGCAGAGGCGGAAGCUCCGGCUAACUACGUGCCAGCAGCCGCGGGAAUACGUAGGGAGCAAGCGUUUUCCGGAUUUACUGGGUGUAAAGGGGGCGUAGGCGGCCUUGCAAGUCAGAAGUGAAAUCCAUGGGCUUAACCGGUGAACUGCUUUUGAAACUGUAGGGCUUGAGUGAAGUAGAGGCAGGCGGAAUUCCCGGUGUAGCGGUGAAAUGCGUAGAGAUCGGGAAGAACACCAGUGGCGAAGGCGGCCUGCUGGGCUUUAACUGACGCUGAAGCACGAAAGCGUGGGUAGCAAACAGGAUUAGAUACCCUUGUAGUC